This 253-nucleotide ribosomal RNA is filed under the name uncultured bacterium. RNAcentral describes it as "partial 16S ribosomal RNA". It matches the Rfam family "Bacterial small subunit ribosomal RNA", at positions 524 to 776 of the family's 1533-position model. The record is from RNAcentral.
UACAGAGGUCCCAAGCGUUGUUCGGAUUCACUGGGCGUAAAGGGUGCGUAGGUGGUGAGGUAAGUCGGAUGUGAAAUCUCCGAGCUCAACUCGGAAAUGGCAUUGGAAACUACCUUGCUUGAGGGUUGGAGGGGGGACUGGAAUACUUGGUGUAGCAGUGAAAUGCGUAGAUACCAAGUGGAACACCAGUGGCGAAGGCGAGUCCCUGGACAACUCCUGACACUGAGGCACGAAAGCUAGGGGAGCAAACAGG